Long non-coding RNA from Equus caballus (horse), 3145 nucleotides. The record is from Ensembl. Lineage: Eukaryota; Metazoa; Chordata; Mammalia; Perissodactyla; Equidae.
UGAAUCCCUGGCACCUAGUAUGGUGCCCAACACAUAGUAGGAGCUCAAUAAAGACUGGUCAAAUAGAUUAAUCAAUUAGUUUUAUUUGUUGAAAUGCAAAGUCCCAGCGUAAGGACGCAGAAUAGUUGAGCAGGCCGAGACGGUGUUGCCCAUCCUCUCCAUCAAGCAUAAGGAGAGAAGCGGGGACACAAAGAUUUUAAGGGGCCUUAUAUAUGCUAGGUACUUGACAGUUGUCAUUGCAUAUAAUUUUCACCACAAUCUUACAAGACAGAAGUUACCCCCAUUUUACAGAUGAGAAAUUGAGGCUCAGAGAGGUGAAGAAAUAUGUCCACCCAACCCCCAGUCUUCACUCUUCCAAGCUGCCAGCCUUCAGGGCGAGGUUGCUCCAGAUAUCUCCUCCAGUUUACCGAGCCCUAGAUUCAGAAUCCUGGCUGCUUUGGCUCCAUCCACUUAUCAAAUCAGCAGUUGCCGUGUCUCCCACGCACUCAGAGCCAGUGCAGUGGCCCCCUGACACUCUUCCAGCUUGUCUUUCUGGGGAGCCCCAGCUUGCUUCUUCCACAAAGAUGACGAAGUCUCUCUUAGAAAGUGACCCAAGGCCUUCCCACAAGCAGCUGUCCACAUUCUCACCACAAUAAGGCCACGUGGUCACUACGUCCUGGCGUGGGCACAGGAAGCAAUCAGUGGGUGAGCAUCAACCUUGCAAAAUAAGAUGUCAGUGAACCAGUGAGUUUCCGGGCCCUGAGGAGAAAAGCUUACAGAAAAGACAGGGUGUUAUCUUGUUUAACCUCAUAAUAUCCUGUGAGGUAACUAUCAUGACCAGCUCCUUUUUACAGUGAGGAAACUGAGACUCAGAGAGGCAGGGACCCUUUGCCAAAGUCUCACAGCAAAUAAAUGAUAGAGCAAAAAUUUCAUCCUAAGUCAGUUGUUUCACUGGAUUUUUUAAAAAAUGUUUUAACUACAAAAGUAAUAUAAAUGUGUAAAAAAAUGUAAACAAGACUAAAGAGCAUAAUGGCCAAACAUCCUCCUUCCACUUCUGAAAUCACUGAAAAUAGUAUAUUUUUUCAGGCGUUUAUUUUUAGGUAGCUUUUCUUUUCUUUUCUUCUUUUUUGGUGAGGAAGAUUGGCCCUGAGCUAACAUCUGUUGCCAAUCUUCCUCCUUUUUUUUUCUCCCCAAAUCCCAGUUCAUAGUUGUAUAUCCUAGUUGUAGGUCAUUCUAGUUCUUCUAUGUGGGAUGCUGCCUCAGCAUGGCCUGAUAAGCAGUGUGUAGGUCUUUACCCAGGAUCUGAACCCACAAAACCUGGGCCACCGAAGCAGAGCACUCAAAUUUAACUAGUCUGCCACAGGGCCAAACCCCUCAGGCAUUUUUUAAUGCACCUACAACUGUAUAUAUACAUGCAUGUAUAUGCGGAUACAUACUGUAUACACACGUCCACCCCCCCCCCCCACUCAUACACAUAUGGAGCUGUACAAAUAUAGGAAUAUUCUCUGCACGUGCUUCUGACUGUUUGCUCUAUGCAUUCAACAAGCAAUCGUCGGCAUCCUUCAAGGCUGAUCAGGGCCAGGACUGGGGUGAGGUGAGAGAGGUGCCAGUCCUUUGACAGGGCAUGAACGCCUCCUUCAAUUUUCUCCCUCAGCCUCUCAUUUUGCUCUCCCCAGUCCCGGCCUUGCUUUGGAUGCAGCAUCUUCUUCAGUCUUCAGAGGAAGUGCAUGUUGCAGGCGGUGCUCUUGUCAUCAUCAUCUCCAUUUCACAGACGGGAAGUCUGAGGGCAGGCAGGCAAAGUGAUUUGCCCCAGUGUUGUCCAGGCGGAAGCCCAGGCUGUCCGGCGCAAAGCCGUGCUCCAGACCACGGGCUCUGCGGGAUCCGCCUAAGGUCCCAGCACAGCCCAAGGGAAGCCAGGACCAUGUGGCAGGCUGCUCUGCCAUCCACCGUGGAGUGCUGGCCCAUGCAUGGGGCAGAACGCACGGCGGUGGGGGGGAGUGGGGGGGGCAGGGCUCUCGGAGGAGGUGGCAUUUGAGAUGAGAUGUGAAGGUCGCCUAGGAUUUCAACAGCGGAGGGCAUGCCCGGAGGAGGAGGGAGCAGGGAGCACAGAGGCCUGGAGCCGGGAAAGGGCAGGGGCUGUUCCAGGACAGCGGGUCGGGUUUGGCUAGAGCGCAGUCACGACACGGACACGGACGCAGAAGGGAGUGGGGCGGCACGGCUGUGGGGCACGCCAGCACAGGGAUGCCCUGGGUGGGGUGAGAGGGCUUCACCCUGCUCCGCCCGGGGGCUGGGCAGCUUCCAUGGGGCUGGAGUGGGCAGUGAGCGCCGCCAUGCCCAGCAGCUGCCCCGUCCUUGUGCCUCGGGCUGGGGUGGGCAUUGCCGCGUCUCUUUGGAGAGAUAGAAGGAGCACUGGUCCCUCAGGCCACUUGCAUCUUCCUCUGUUGUAUUUUGGAAUGAAAGUGUUCAGCUCUAAGGCAUGACCCGGAAAGUUCUAGUGAGCCACAGGGCACUGGCUGAGUCCCAGGGGGACACAUGGGAAGUGGUACAGGAGGGGCUGUUUCUGGACUCCGGGGAAGUGAAGGCAAGGAGGCAGGUGCGAAGACAGGGCUUGCCCCCUGCAGCCCAUGAUGGAAGAUGGCCCUCUUGUGCCCUCCCUCUCCGUGCAUAAACAUCUUGAUUUCCACCAUCCUAAAAAGCAUGGGAACUUCUCAGGGAGACUAGAAUGCCCAGGUUUCAGGAACACAGGCUCUUUCUCCAUGAUUUGUGUCCAGAUUGCCCUCUCUGUGGAUCAUCUGUGGAAAAUCAUUAAUCCCUUAAUGGGCCCCAGAGCCACCCAGCUUGUUUCCCUGCUCCUUCCCAUCAUGCACUUCGGCAUGGCCUCCCGGAGCGUCUGUCUGGCCUCCCUUUUGAGAUCUGUGUCCUAAGCCAGAGAAGCAUGUCGGGGCCAGGGCAGAAGUGGCCAGGUCCACGGCUCAGCCCCACACAAGCAGCUUCCUCCCCUCUCCUCACCUCCGCCCACUCGGCUGCCUCAUGGCCUCCCCAGGCCAGCCCCAGUUGGCUCCAUCAGAGCAGGCCUGUCGCUGUGCCGCUUCACUGGCGCUAUUGUGGCCUCACUGCCUGGUGUCUAGGAGGUCUUGGGAAGUUGCUGGCUGUAGCGAGUCUUUCU